This 496-nucleotide ribosomal RNA is filed under the name uncultured bacterium. RNAcentral's name for it is "partial 16S ribosomal RNA". It matches the Rfam family "Bacterial small subunit ribosomal RNA", at positions 28 to 507 of the family's 1533-position model. The record is from RNAcentral.
GAUGAACGCUGGCGGCGUGCCUAAUACAUGCAAGUCGAGCGAACGGACGAGAAGCUUGCUUCUCUGAUGUUAGCGGCGGACGGGUGAGUAACACGUGGAUAACCUACCUAUAAGACUGGGAUAACUUCGGGAAACCGGAGCUAAUACCGGAUAAUAUUUUGAACCGCAUGGUUCAAAAGUGAAAGACGGUCUUGCUGUCACUUAUAGAUGGAUCCGCGCUGCAUUAGCUAGUUGGUAAGGUAACGGCUUACCAAGGCAACGAUGCAUAGCCGACCUGAGAGGGUGAUCGGCAACACUGGAACUGAGACAGGGCCCAGACCCCAAGGGGAGGCAGCGGUAGGGAAUUUCCCGAAAGGGGCGAAAGCUUGACGAAGCAACGCCGGGGGGGGGAUGAAGGUCUCCGAAUCGUAAAACUUUGUUAUUAGGGAAGAACAUAUGUGUAGUAACUGUGCACAUCUUGACGGUACCUAAUCAGAAAGCCACGGCUAACUACGUG